RNAcentral lists this long non-coding RNA (1421 nucleotides) under Neodiprion lecontei (redheaded pine sawfly). RNAcentral's name for it is "uncharacterized LOC124294933". Lineage: Eukaryota; Metazoa; Arthropoda; Insecta; Hymenoptera; Diprionidae. The record is from RNAcentral.
GAUCCGGCGCUCCGGGUCCGCUACGUGGUGAAACUCGAAUUCCAAGACAAGCGCUUCGUAAUUUCUAUGCUCCAGGUUCGCUACCUGGUGAAACUCGACGUCCAGGACAAGCGCUCCGUAGUUCCUGCGCUGCAGGUCCGCGCUGCCUGGUGAAACUCGAGUUCUAGGACAAGCGCUCCGUAGUUCUGACUGUCCAGGUCCUUGACCUGACGACUUUUGACCUUACGGAUUAUUUUCAGGUUUACAAGUUUGAUUAUUGGAAACGUCAUGUUUUUUACUAUCAAACCAGUAUUCAUGCUUCAUAUAACAUGUUGAAUCGAACCCAAAAACCGAACGACCAGGAUCAACAAAUUGUAAUUGAUGAGUGGUACAUGACAAUACCGUCGUUCCAUUAUAGCUAAAAUUGCUGUGCGUAGUGUUUCAAAUCUGUCAGCACUUAGCUGAUUGUUCUGUGGUAUUUUUUCACGAAAUUUAUUGUCAUAAAAUCGCAAUACGUUAUACCUACGUGCAUGUGUAAACGUAAUUUGUAGCAUUAUGUAGAAAAAAUUUUACGGGCAGAUUCGGUUUGCGUCACAUGCACAAAGACAGUGUUGAUUCUGUAUACAAUGAAGCAAAUACCAGAACUUUUUGGGGAGUGAUCGUGCCCCAGUCACCCCUAAAACUAUGUCAUCUGGUAAAACACUGACAACGAGGAAGCGAGCGUACGAGCACAAAAACCAGUUACACUAGGCAUCCGACCCCGAGCAAGCUUUGGCGACAAAACUUACGCACUCCAUUUUUCUUCCCAAUUCGAGAUUCCAGUAGCGAGGCGCUUCAAUGGCCAGCUCAUCACUUCGCCAUUUUAAGACAAUUGAUGACAUGAAAAUUUUUUUGGUAGUUUCCAAAUGUGAGUUGAAAUACACUCGAAAUUUUAGAUAGCUUCGUUAGUUAUCUCUCAUUAGAAAAUAAAUAGACAACAAUGAACGUUUCGCUUAAAAAUGAUCGUAUUUGAUUGAUUUGAAGGAAAAUAUGUGUACUUUUCUCGAUCUUUCAUAUGGCAGCAUUUAAAGAACCCGGUUUCCACUUUGAACCGACACGAAAGAUAUUUUUUGUCCAUUAUCUGAUUUUAUUAUUCACCUUUUUUCGGUGUUACUUGAAUAUUUAGUUAUACAAUUAUUGAUUGCUUUCAGUUUUCAACCAUUUGUAUACCAUAAUAAUAUAAAUGCAAUAAUUAUGAUCAACUAUUUUCAUGUAAACCAAUAACAAAAAGCUAUGUGACUAUUUGUGCACGUAUUUGAGGUAUAACCCGAGGUGAUAAGCGGUGGUCGUCGGACGUAGUUGAAGGUGAUCAGAGGUGGUUAGAGAUGGUUGCGGGUGAUCAAGGUGGACGAGGAUUUGUGCUAGGUAUAACCCGGGGUGGUUAUCGGUGGUUGUUGGAGGUG